UGGGCAACCUGCCCCCUAGCUCUGGGAUAACUGCGGGAAACUGUAGCUAAUACCGGAUACUCCGGCUGGAUCGCAUGGUCCGGCCGGGAAAUGUCCGCCGGAGAGGGAUGGGCCCGCGGCCUAUCAGCUUGUUGGUGGGGUGAUGGCCUACCAAGGCGACGACGGGUAGCCGGCCUGAGAGGGUGUCCGGCCACACUGGGACUGAGACACGGCCCAGACUCCUACGGGAGACA
This 233-nucleotide ribosomal RNA is filed under the name uncultured bacterium. RNAcentral describes it as "partial 16S ribosomal RNA". It matches the Rfam family "Bacterial small subunit ribosomal RNA", at positions 118 to 350 of the family's 1533-position model. The record is from RNAcentral.